RNAcentral lists this ribosomal RNA (1522 nucleotides) under Staphylococcus epidermidis Scl31. RNAcentral's name for it is "bacterial LSU rRNA". It matches the Rfam family "Bacterial large subunit ribosomal RNA", at positions 1413 to 2925 of the family's 2925-position model. Lineage: Bacteria; Bacillati; Bacillota; Bacilli; Caryophanales; Staphylococcaceae. The record is from RNAcentral.
AGGCGAUGGAUAACAGGUUGAUAUUCCUGUACCACCUAGUAUCGUUUUAAUCGAUGGGGGGACGCAGUAGGAUAGGCGAAGCGUGCUGUUGGAGUGCACGUCCAAGCAGUAAGGCUGAGUGUUAGGCACAUCCGGCACUCAUGAGGCUGAGCUGUGAUGGGUAGAGGAAAUUGGUUCCUCGAGUCGUUGAUUUCACACUGCCGAGAAAAGCCUCUAGAUAGAUAACAGGUGCCCGUACCGCAAACCGACACAGGUAGUCAAGAUGAGAAUUCUAAGGUGAGCGAGCGAACUCUCGUUAAGGAACUCGGCAAAAUGACCCCGUAACUUCGGGAGAAGGGGUGCUCUUUAGGGUUCACGCCCAGAAGAGCCGCAGUGAAUAGGCCCAAGCGACUGUUUAUCAAAAACACAGGUCUCUGCUAAACCGUAAGGUGAUGUAUAGGGGCUGACGCCUGCCCGGUGCUGGAAGGUUAAGAGGAGUGGUUAGCUUCUGCGAAGCUACGAAUCGAAGCCCCAGUAAACGGCGGCCGUAACUAUAACGGUCCUAAGGUAGCGAAAUUCCUUGUCGGGGAAGUUCCGACCCGCACGAAAGGCGUAAUGAUUUGGGCACUGUCUCAACGAGAGACUCGGUGAAAUCAUAGUACCUGUGAAGAUGCAGGUUACCCGCGACAGGACGGAAAGACCCCGUGGAGCUUUACUGUAGCCUGAUAUUGAAAUUCGGCACAGCUUGUACAGGAUAGGUAGGAGCCUUUGAAACGUGAGCGCUAGCUUACGUGGAGGCGUUGGUGGGAUACUACCCUAGCUGUGUUGGCUUUCUAACCCGCACCACUUAUCGUGGUGGGAGACAGUGUCAGGCGGGCAGUUUGACUGGGGCGGUCGCCUCCUAAAAGGUAACGGAGGCGCUCAAAGGUUCCCUCAGAAUGGUUGGGAAGCAUUCAUAGAGUGUAAAGGGCAUAAGGGAGCUUGACUGCGAGACCUACAAGUCGAGCAGGGUCGAAAGACGGACUUAGUGAUCCGGUGGUUCCGCAUGGAAGGGCCAUCGCUCACCGGAUAAAAGCUACCCCGGGGAUAACAGGCUUAUCUCCCCCAAGAGUUCACAUCGACGGGGAGGUUUGGCACCUCGAUGUCGGCCCAUCGCAUCCUGGGGCUGUAGUCGGUCCCAAGGGUUGGGCUGUUCGCCCAUUAAAGCGGUACGCGAGCUGGGUUUAGAACGUCGUGAGACAGUUCGGUCCCUAUCCGUCGUGGGCGUAGGAAAUUUGAGAGGAGCUGUCCUUAGUACGAGAGGACCGGGAUGGACAUACCUCUGGUGUACCAGUUGUCGUGCCAACGGCAUAGCUGGGUAGCUAUGUAUGGACGGGAUAAGUGCUGAAAGCAUCUAAGCAUGAAGCCCCCCUCAAGAUGAGAUUUCCCAACUUCGGAUAUAAGAUCCCUCGAAGAUGACGAGGUUAAUAGGUUCGAGGUGGAAGCGUGGUGACACGUGGAGCUGACGAAUACUAAUCGAUCGAAGACUUAAUCAAUUUUUAAA